GAUCAUGGCUCAGGAUGAACGCUGGCGGCGUGCUUAACACAUGCAAGUCGAACGGGAAACAUUUUAUUGAAGCUUCGGCAGAUUUAGAUUGUUUCUAGUGGCGGACGGGUGAGUAACGCGUGGGUAACCUGCCUUAUACCGGGGGAUAACAGCCAGAAAUGACUGCUAAUACCGCAUAAGCGCACAGAACCGCAUGGUUCCGUGUGAAAAACUCCGGUGGUAUAAGAUGGACCCAGUCGGUGGUAUACG
Molecule: ribosomal RNA, 249 nt
Filed under: uncultured bacterium
Lineage: Bacteria
Description: partial 16S ribosomal RNA
Rfam family: Bacterial small subunit ribosomal RNA
Source: RNAcentral